CCUUCAACAGUACUAGGGGAACCUGUGUGGUAAUCGACACUCCACGUUAAUCUUCACCUUUCCUUGAAAUCUUCAGCCUGUAUACCUCCGUCACAACUCACCUUUAAGAGCUCAAUAGUGAGUGAAAAGUAAGUUCACUACUUCAUGGCAGGUCAAGGUGCAGCCUAUGGAAAGGAACAUCAUGGGUGACAAUUCGUUAAAAGAUUAAUGAAUCCUCUCUGGAACACAGAGAAGUGAAAAUGGACUUAGAAGUAAGGAGCUCUUUAGAAAAAUCUCCUGAAAAACUCCCUAGAAGGUGCACAAAUC
This 306-nucleotide ribosomal RNA is filed under the name Internectella bulgarica. RNAcentral describes it as "partial 12S ribosomal RNA". Lineage: Eukaryota; Metazoa; Bryozoa; Phylactolaemata; Fredericellidae. The record is from RNAcentral.